Molecule: ribosomal RNA, 509 nt
Filed under: Lacticaseibacillus casei
Lineage: Bacteria; Bacillati; Bacillota; Bacilli; Lactobacillales; Lactobacillaceae
Description: bacterial SSU rRNA
Rfam family: Bacterial small subunit ribosomal RNA
Source: RNAcentral
UAUUGGGCGUAAGCGAGCGCAGGCGGUUUUUUAAGUCGAUGUGAAAGCCCUCGGCUUAACCGAGGAAGCGCAUCGGAAACUGGGAAACUUGAGUGCAGAAGAGGACAGUGGAACUCCAUGUGUAGCGGUGAAAUGCGUAGAUAUAUGGAAGAACACCAGUGGCGAAGGCGGCUGUCUGGUCUGUAACUGACGCUGAGGCUCGAAAGCAUGGGUAGCGAACAGGAUUAGAUACCCUGGUAGUCCAUGCCGUAAACGAUGAAUGCUAGGUGUUGGAGGGUUUCCGCCCUUCAGUGCCGCAGCUAACGCAUUAAGCAUUCCGCCUGGGGAGUACGACCGCAAGGUUGAAACUCAAAGGAAUUGACGGGGGCCCGCACAAGCGGUGGAGCAUGUGGUUUAAUUCGAAGCAACGCGAAGAACCUUACCAGGUCUUGACAUCUUUUGAUCACCUGAGAGAUCAGGUUUCCCCUUGGGGGCAAAAUGACAGGUGGUGCAUGGUGUCGUCAGCUCGU